GAUGAACGCUGGCGGCGUGCCUAACACAUGCAAGUCGAGCGGACGGACGAGGCUCUUGCUUCUCUGAUGUUGGGGGCGGGCGGGUGAGUCACAUGAGUAUGCCCUACCUAUAAGGCUGAGAUCACUUAGCGACAGCGGAUAUCACAUACGAUCAGAUUUUGAACCGCAUGGUUCAUAGGUGAUCGACGGUUUUGCUGUACCUACUAGAGGGUUCCGGGCUGCUUGAGCUAGUUGGUAAGGUAACGGCUUUCCAAGGCUAGGAUGGGUAGACGACCUGACAGGGGGAUCGGCCACACUGGAACGGAGACACGGUCCAGACUACUAAGGGAGGCAGCAGUAGGGAAUAUUACGCAAUGGGCGAAAGCCUGACGCAGCAACGCCGCGUGAGUGAUGAAGGUCUUCGGAUCGUAAAGCUCUGUUAUUAGGGAAGAACAGAUGUGUAAUUAUCUGUUCACAUCUUGACGGUACCUAAUCAAAAAGCCACGGCUAACUACGUG
RNAcentral lists this ribosomal RNA (497 nucleotides) under uncultured bacterium. RNAcentral's name for it is "partial 16S ribosomal RNA". It matches the Rfam family "Bacterial small subunit ribosomal RNA", at positions 28 to 507 of the family's 1533-position model. The record is from RNAcentral.